Bombus pyrosoma is the source of this 4732-nucleotide long non-coding RNA. RefSeq lists it as uncharacterized. Lineage: Eukaryota; Metazoa; Arthropoda; Insecta; Hymenoptera; Apidae. The record is from RefSeq and is a predicted model, not a curated record. The transcript has 3 exons.
AAAUAUCCGAAUUUUAUAUAAUAUUUAUGUAUUAUUUGAGAUCUAAAGAUUAAAUGCUGAAUGUUAAUUAAGCUUUGUAUUACACUUAGCUAAUUCAUAGAAAAUGGAUCCAUCCAAGGAUAUAUUGAGCAAUAUUAACAGUAUUAUCAAAAUUCUCCUCUUUCUAUAUAUUUUUAUUAAAAAUAUCAAUUUCCAUAACUGGCAAUAAAUAAUAUCUUUAUUUUCAGAUUAACUUUAAAGUCUGCAUGAACACUUGGAUAUCCAUACGUUUCACCACUGAUAUGUUCCCAUCGUAACACCCUAUUAUGAUUUGGGGACUGGAGAAUCCUCCAAUUAUGAUGACACGGAUCUAAUGGAAACUGAUUGCGUUACGUGGACAGGACAACGUGACUUUUUUUUUUUCUUAAUCCAACAUUAAUCGUUGCUCGUUGAAGUAACCGUUCAAAUAAAUUGACCCGCAGGAAUUCCGGUCGUUUUAACGAGCGAGUUAGGGGGUAGAUCAAUUAGACGUUAUGAAACGAUGCCGUUCCUUUGCCAGGCGUGUAUCCGUCGUAUCCAUGGCGAGGAUUUACCUUGAAUUUAUUUCUUUACCAGACAUUCAUGACCAACGCAUUUUAUUUCUUUUUCUCUCCUUGACAUAUUGAUCAAACGUUCUACUUUGUCUGUUGCGUUGUAAUUUAUCCGGUAAGGAUAUAAGACUAUCAACAUUUAAAUGUCGUAUCAUCUUUAAACUGUCACUUAACUCCGAUAACGCAAAAUUAAUUUCCAUUCAUGAUUGCGUUUUUAUUUAUACUAAUUAAAACCAAUUGUUACAUUUAUCAAUAUUUAUUAACUGUAUACAGUCGCCUGGGAUAAGAUUAGAAGCAAAAAUUGGAUUAAAGACCUUCAUUUAAAGUACCAAGGCAUACCCAAGUACUUACACAUCUAUCAAUAAGAAAGAUUACUAUUUUUAGAAUAGCAAGAUACUACAAGAUAAAUGACAAUUGAAAGUAUUAAUAAAUAUGACAACGUGCGUUUGCAUCUCCAUCAAUAAUCAUCUUUCUAAGCUGGCAAGGCAAUCCUUGUGUACAUCAAAUUGAUCUAGUCCCCUUUAUAUUUUUGUGUAAUUUACUUUGUUAUUUAAAUAAUGUAAUAUUCAUAUAUAUCAAAGCAAAAUACAUAAGUUUUUUGCCACGUAUGUCUUUUAUAUUUCUUUAAUAUCAUUUACAGACCAAUGAUGAUUCUAUUGACACUAUCACCAUCAAGCCAUUCACGCAAUAGAAUAAUACUCAUUGCAGCGAGACAAUGCAAAAGCACUUACUGUCGAUUUACAAAAAUCGAAACGUCCAAAUCAAAAGCGUCCACUAGACACUGUAGCGAAGAUCUCAAGUUCUCCGGAUCACAACUAGAUCUACAUCUAUCACCACCUAUUCAAAACCCGUAAAAAAUCGAAUACUUCUACAUUGUAUGAAAAUAAAAAUUCAAGCUUGACAUGUACGUAAAAUUACAAAUUUCUCUAUUAAAAAGCGCACGAUAUUCUUUUAGCCUCGAUAAUUAGAAGAAAAUCUUCAAUAGAGGAUCGCGAGCAGCAGAUCACUCGAUAUUUAAGAUCUGAAAUCGAGGAAAGACAACCGAAGUAGUGACUUGGAGGAUCGUCGAUCGACUAAUGCUGCUUCACCUUUCUAGAGAAUCGCUUUCAAAGAUCGUUCCAAGGACGACAAUCUUCGUAAGGUCGCUGGUAGAUAAGGAACAAAUACCGAAUCGUUUUGAAGGUUCCGCAUCCACUGCCCUUCUCCCUGACGCGUCGAAAUCGCGAAGGAGAUCGAAAAAUAAAAGCGGAGAUGUGAUGCUGGAAGACGAGGGCGAUGAACGAACUUGUAAAUCUCUGUUACAAGUCAUUACAGACUUGAUACUUGGAUGAUUUUAAAUGGCUUUUAAGUAACCUUCAGAGAUUAACGUGAAUGCAAAUUAUUGCUUUUUGUGUCUACGUUCUUUAUUUAUUUAUGCAAAGAAGAAUAUGAAACGUGGAACGAUUUUUAGAUAUUUUGUAUGUUGUUGUUUGCAGAAAUUAAUUGUCAGAUAGGUCAAGGACGAUCGAAUUAAAAAUGUGACGAACUUUUCGAACGACUUAAUAAUUGGAUUGAAGUCAGUGAUUUUCACUCAAUUUUAUUUCAUUUUAUUAUUGAUUUUAAAAAUUGUUCAUCCUGUCUUGUCAAUUAUAUCGGUAUAGUACCAUUAUUUUAAAAUUAUAGCACCAUUUUUUGCACUAUACAUAAUAUAUGAUUAAAACGGAUAUUUAUGUUGUAUCAUUCUAACUGCUAAAUUCAUUUCCAGAUUAAUUUGGGACAUGACCAAUGUCUCGUUACAGUGCUAAUGAUACUUCAAAUUAUUUUAUACGACACGCACGAUAUGCAUAUAAAAAUUUUAUACUGCAAGUGUGGAAAUGCCUUCAUGAGCCACUGUAAGUAAUAACGUCAAAUGGAUAAAUCGACGAGGAUUGAUACCAUUCAACGGCACAGUCCGUUCGAUCAAUAGAAAUUUAAUCUAAUUAGCGCGAUUAGACCGUUCCAGUUCAGGGAGUCGAGCGAAAUCCUACGAGUCUCGCGCAAGAAUCAUCAACCCUACAUAGCGAAAUUGAGCCAGAAUCUGGGUCAGUCGGCCUCGUUGACGAACUUGUCUCUUGAACCUGCGCCAAUUCACACCGAAUAACCCUAUGAUCAACUGGUAAAUGAAGCGUGACUCAACUACACUGACCCACCUUCGUCUAUUUACAAAGGCUAUAAAGAUUACUAAAGAUUGCAACAGAAAUUGUGCAUUUACAAAAUUAAGUGGAAAACAAAUCGUAACAUAAUGACCGUUCACUUAUUAAUUAUAACCCAAUUAGAAAGAAUACGUGCAAAUAGUUCUCCAUCCACAAAAACAAAUGUCAAGGAAUUUACUCUAUUGCUCAGAAGUAUUUGGAUUGUAUAUUUUUGUCAAAAUUGAAGUAUUGCUUUUGUCCAUUAGUUUCUCAUUAAUUUAUACACUUUAUUAACAUUUAUGUACUGUUGCUAUAAAAGUAUUCAGCUACUUAUGAGCAACAGUGUAUUUAGGAAAACGUACCCUGCCUCCACUCUUACCUGUUUCAUCACAAACGAACCUGCUCCAAUUAUGAGGAAUAUUCGGACAAAGCCAACAAGAAUCAAGAAUCAAAUCACGACCCAAUAAAUUAUAUCAUGCUAAGCUUCAUAAAAGAAACAAAGCACGGUAAAAAAAGAAAAAGCGAGAAUACAAAGCACGGUGAAGUAUCAUAACAAAAUAUCGUGACGACUGGCUGAGGAAUUAGCAAAUUAGCCAGGGUUUGACGUCAAAAACAAUUCACGGGGAAUCGUUGCUCGUUACGCGUACCACGCACCGUUUAAAUCGAUCAAUUACCCUGUGGAAAAGUCGUGCACGUGCAGUGGUGAACAUGUUCAUCGCAAUUUUACCAGGUCACGGUCACAAAGGACAGGCAAGUUCAGUCUCAGAUGAGUCAAAUCGUUCGUUCUGUCUUGUAGUUUUAGAUGUUGCAAGUGGACCGAUUUAAUAGAAACGGAUUUUAUGAAAUUAAUUUGAAAGAUCGAGUAAUAGAAGACACGUUCGAGUCGAGAAAAUAACGCGAAACUCACUGAAAGAAGAGACAAGGUACGCAAGGAACUGCCAACCAACUCCCACCUCCGGCUGCGCACCCCGGAAACCGCAACGCGACUCGAGCCACUGCAGUGCGCAACAACCCCUCAACUUACCUUCACUGAUCCUAUGGAAUUCGUAGAGUUGAAUUUUAGAGGUAACCAAGGUGCCAUUGGCAAAUAUUUGAAGAUUUAGUAUUUGUUAAUUUGAAUGAUUGUUAUCGAAGGAAACACUGGACAUUUUAUUUUAGACAAGUUGAAAUGUUAAUAGUUUAAGGGUUUUACAUUCUCUAAAUUCUUGAAUUUUUAAACCUUUAUAUUUCUAGAUUAAAAAUUUUUAGAUUUUUUGGCAUUUAAAUUCCUAAAUCUCGAAUUGACUAUAAUAAUUGUCCAGUUCUCUAAAUAUUACAAAUACAGUUUUAAUUUGUUACCUUUUUAAAUUUGGUAUUUAAACGAAAUAUUGGUAUUUAAAUGAAAAUAGCGCAUAAUUACAAUAUCUGUCUUAAUAGUCUAAUUUAUCGAAAUAUUGUAGUAAAUGAAUCGUUAUAAACAAAUGUUAAACACUGGAACGAUCGCUAUUUUUAUGUAAUUGUAAUUGUAUAAUUUCACUAACAAGAACUACAAAUUUCAAAGGUGAAUACAAUUUCACGCGAAGGUGUCCCCUUUCGCUCAAUUUAUCUGAAAUUCAGUCCUAGUAUAUACCGAGUGAUUCCGCUUCCUACAUAGACAAUUAUAAAAGAUUCCUUUUGCGUAGUACUUAAAUAUUCACAUUGUUUGAAAAGUAAAUUUUUCGGGAAUAUCGUUUAUCGAUUCUUUGCGCGUAUUCUUUUAGGAAUUAUAUUCUGAAUAAUGUAUGCGUCUGAAACGUACGCGUCUUGAAUAUAAUUUUACACUUUUUCAAUUUUAAAUCUUCCGCUGAAAUUAUAACUUAUAAUUUCCGAUUAAAGAAUUAUAUAAAAACAAAGAAUGAAUGUAUCAACGAUCAACGUAUUUUUCAUUUCUGAUUUUGGGACUUUUAGAUUUUACAAUUCCCAUAUUUCUAAAUAUUUAAAUUUUGAAAACACUAAAAAAGCAAAAGAGGAAAAAGCAGAAGAAUAACAAAUUAA